RNAcentral lists this ribosomal RNA (250 nucleotides) under uncultured bacterium. Its description in RNAcentral is "partial 16S ribosomal RNA". It matches the Rfam family "Bacterial small subunit ribosomal RNA", at positions 526 to 779 of the family's 1533-position model. The record is from RNAcentral.
CGUAGGUGCGAGCGUUAAUCGGAAUUACUGGGCGUAAAGCGUGCGCAGGCGGUUAUGCAAGACAGAUGUGAAAUCCCCGGGCUCAACCUGGGAACUGCAUUAGUGACUGCAUAGCUAGAGUGCGGCAGAGGGGAUGGAAUUCCGCGUGUAGCAGUGAAAUGCGUAGAUAUGCGAAGGAACACCGAUGGCGAAGGCAAUCCCUGGGCCUGCACUGACGCUCAUGCACGAAAGCGUGGGAGCAAACAGGAUU